CCCUUAGAUGUUCUGGGCCGCACGCGCGCUACACUGACGAAGUCAGCGAGCAUGUCCUACGCCGACAGGUGCGGGGAAUCUUGUCAAACUUCGUCGUGAUGGGGAUUGAUUAUUGAAAUUCUUGAUCAUCAACGAGGAAUUCCUAGUAAGCGCAAGUCAGCAGCUUGCGUUGAUUACGUCCCUGCCCUUUGUACACACCGCCCGUCGCUACUACCGAUUGAAUGGUUUAGUGAGAUCUUCGGAUUGGCGCCACUGCGGCUCAGCAAUGGGCUCGGUGGAUGCCGAAAAGUUGAUCAAACUUGGUCAUUUAGAGGAAGUAAAAGUCGUAACA
This 331-nucleotide ribosomal RNA is filed under the name uncultured eukaryote. RNAcentral's name for it is "partial 18S ribosomal RNA". It matches the Rfam family "Eukaryotic small subunit ribosomal RNA", at positions 1470 to 1796 of the family's 1831-position model. The record is from RNAcentral.